Molecule: unclassified non-coding RNA, 293 nt
Filed under: Irpex hydnoides
Lineage: Eukaryota; Fungi; Basidiomycota; Agaricomycetes; Polyporales; Irpicaceae
Description: partial internal transcribed spacer region
Rfam family: Eukaryotic small subunit ribosomal RNA (bases 1-46)
Source: RNAcentral
AAGUCGUAACAAGGUUUCCGUAGGUGAACCUGCGGAAGGAUCAUUAUCGAGUUUUGAACGGGUUGUAGCUGGCCUCUCACGAGGCAUGUGCACGCCUGGCUCAUCCACUCUUAACCUCUGUGCACUUUAUGUAAGAGAAAAAAUGGUGGAAGCUUCCAGGAUCUCGCGAGAGGUCUUCGGUUGAACAAGCCGUUUUUCUUUCUUAUGUUUUACUACAAACGCUUCAGUUAUAGAAUGUCAACUGUGUAUAACACAUUUAUAUACAACUUUCAGCAACGGAUCUCUUGGUUCUC